GCUCUUUCCUGGUUAAAAGGAGAGCAGAGGAGGUGUUAGCAUCUGCCCUGGUGCGAAACUGAGGCCUGCUCCUCGAUGUAACUAGAAGGAUGCAAGGAACUAGGAUGAAAUUUUGUCUGCUGUGGCUUGAUUUUAUUUAACACCUUAUGCAUGUGCCUCAAAAAUGAUGUUGGGGAACCCCAACUGCAUCCUCCUAAGGCCCCUCUCUGGGAUAUGCAGGCCUUGGUGGUCUUGUUGGUCAUUUCCUGUGUAAAAGAAGAGACUGGGACACACACAAACAGAGGGAAGACCCCAUCAAGGCACAGGGAGAAGAUGGCAAGCCAAAGAGACAGGUCUCAGAAGAAACCAGUCCUGCUGACACCUUGGACUCAGACUUCCAGCCUCCAGGACUGUGAGAAAUUUGUGCAGCAUGCCUCCAGUUGUGUAAAGAAUGUAAAAGGGAAAUGUCUCAAAACAGAAGAAGACGCCUGUGGGCAGCACCUUCUGCAGAGUGAUCCUGGGAGCUGGAAAGAAGACUCACUUUUCAUUUUACAACCUUGGGCACUGUAAGGAUAUUUUGGGCUUGGUAUGUGUGUUUUGUUGUUGUUGUUUUUUGUUUGUUUUAUUAUACUUUAAGUUUUAGGGUACAUGUACACAACGUGCUGGUUAGUUACAUAUGUAUACAUGUGCCAUGUUGGUGUGCUGCACCCAUUAACUCAUCAUUUAACAUUAGGUAUAUCUCCUAAUGCUAUCCCUCCCCCUCCCCCCACCCCACAACAGGCCCCGGUGUGUGAUGUUCCCCUUCCUGUGUCCAUGUGUUCUCAUUGUUCAAUUCCCACCUAUGAGUGAGAACAUGCGGUGUUUGGUUUUUUGUCCUUGAGAUAGUUUGCUGAGAAUGAUGGUUUCCAGCUUCAUCCAUGUCCCUACAAAGGACAUGAACUCAUCAUUUUUUAUGGCUGCAUAGUAUUCCAUGGUGUAUGGUAUGUGUGUUUUAUAAAAAUAACUUAAUGAAACAUUUUUAAUGUCUCAGAGAUAGUGUGUUCAUGACAGUUCACCUCACUAGCAUCUUCUGAAUCCACUCAUUUAUUCAUCCAUUUGUCCAUUGAUUCAGCAUUUUGGUGGCAGUCAUUUUAGGAAGGAAGAUAUGAAAGCAGAGAAGACAAGGCCCCCACUUCCAGGACAGGAUCCUCAGAGUCUAAGGGGGAAGGCCAUGGGAGC
This 1197-nucleotide long non-coding RNA is filed under the name Homo sapiens (human). Its description in RNAcentral is "HSALNT0350319". The record is from RNAcentral. Lineage: Eukaryota; Metazoa; Chordata; Mammalia; Primates; Hominidae.